RNAcentral lists this non-coding RNA (20 nucleotides) under Arabidopsis thaliana (thale cress). RNAcentral also lists the same sequence under 2 other names. The record is from RNAcentral. Lineage: Eukaryota; Viridiplantae; Streptophyta; Magnoliopsida; Brassicales; Brassicaceae.
GACCCUGUUGAGCUUGACUC